This 512-nucleotide ribosomal RNA is filed under the name uncultured bacterium. RNAcentral's name for it is "partial 16S ribosomal RNA". It matches the Rfam family "Bacterial small subunit ribosomal RNA", at positions 28 to 523 of the family's 1533-position model. The record is from RNAcentral.
GACGAACGCUGGCGGCGUGCCUAAUACAUGCAAGUCGAGCGGAUUGAUGGGAGCUUGCUCCCUGAUAUCAGCGGCGGACGGGUGAGUAACACGUGGGCAACCUGCCUAUAAGACUGGGAUAACUUCGGGAAACCGGAGCUAAUACCGGAUAAUCCCUUUCCUCUCAUGAGGAAAGGCUGAAAGAUGGUUUACGCUAUCACUUAUAGAUGGGCCCGCGGCGCAUUAGCUAGUUGGUGAGGUAACGGCUCACCAAGGCAACGAUGCGGAGCCGACCUGAGAGGGUGAUCGGCCACACUGGGACUGGGCCACGGCCCAGACUCCUACGGGAGGCAGCAGUAGGGAAUCUUCCGCAAUGGACGAAAGUCUGACGGAGCAACGCCGCGUGAGUGAUGAAGGUUUUCGGAUCGUAAAACUCUGUUGUUAGGGAAGAACAAGUACGAGAGUAACUGCUCGUACCUUGACGGUACCUAACCAGAAAGCCACGGCUAACUACGUGCCAGCCGCCGCGGUAA